UACCUACAGGUUGUGUUUGCUCCAGGUUUUCGGCAUUGUGCCUGCACUGAAUAAAAACAAGCAGCUCCAACUUCUCAGGGCUGCUCUCUGGCCACUAGAGCCAGGCAGUCACCUAGCUGCUCUUAUGCUGCAUACCUGUCUCUGAGUACUUGCUUCAUCCAUCGGCCAGGGUCUGUGGGACAGACCAGGCAGGUGGUGCCCCAUGUGAGGAACGCUGCAAUGGAUUGCAAGGGAACCCCUGAAAACAAAUAUGAAGUGACUGAGCAGUGUUAACCUUAGAAGACUAGAACCUAAUGAGUUAUGGCAAACAGAUGUUAUGCACGUCCCUGAAUUUGGAAAACUAAGGUCCUCUUUGGAUUCCAGCACGAGGCAUCAAACCAUACCAUGGCAUGGCUAGGACCCAACCCGGUACCAAAAUGAAGAAAAUGACCCUACAGGACCCACAAUCCCGGAUGAUGUGGCUUCCUUGGAUGACACAGGCCCUGGACAUUACCUGGGGGAUGCUGAAGAAGACAACUCAGGAGGCCAAGCAAAUCCUGCUCCA
This 544-nucleotide long non-coding RNA is filed under the name Pan troglodytes (chimpanzee). Its description in RNAcentral is "long non-coding RNA NONPTRT003712". Lineage: Eukaryota; Metazoa; Chordata; Mammalia; Primates; Hominidae. The record is from RNAcentral.